GACGCUGAAGCGGUGGAGUGUUCGUCCUCGAACAGUACGAUCCACUUACAAAGCAAGUGACUGAGAGAAAGUUCCGCUCUGGCAUGGCUGACCACAUCUGCUACUCGAUCCUGUGCAUCUUCUCCUACGUUGCCGCGGGAACCGACCGGCAGAAGCAAGAGGAGGCUAUACGGAGCAAGGAGGCGCUGCAGGCGCGCAUUGCAGCGGGCACACGGCCAAAGUACCCGCAGUACUAGACGUAGUCGUCGCCACCC
This is a long non-coding RNA of Priapulus caudatus, 254 nucleotides long. RefSeq lists it as uncharacterized. The record is from RefSeq and is a predicted model, not a curated record. Lineage: Eukaryota; Metazoa; Priapulida; Priapulimorpha; Priapulimorphida; Priapulidae. The transcript has 3 exons.